GUGGCGGCGGCGCUGAGGGGGACGCGGCGGCGGAGCGGGUAACUGUCACCGGCCGCGGCCGUUUGUGUCCGCCCGAGCGCCGACAGCCCCAAGGCCUGCCAGCCUCAGGAGAUCCCUGGAAAAGGAUCCAGCCUGGAUUCUCUGGGAAUGGAGAGCCACAGGGAGAUUCAUCUGCUUGGAAACCUGACGUGUCCCAGUUAUUUUUUAUCUUUAUAUUUGCAAACUCCAGCAAUCUAAACAAACAAUUCUGUUUUGUCUUCGGGGUGACCUGACCCACUUUGGGAGCAGCAGCUCCUGCUCUGAAGCCUCCAUGAGGUGCUGCUGUUGGGAUUGGUGCUGGAAAAUCAUGGAAAAGAGGAAUUCCUGCUCUGCACAAGCUCAGGCAGGAGGUGAUGCCAGGGAGAGCCACCAGCCGAGAAACUUCGAGAGAACUGAGGCCUGGAGAUUCUCCAGGGGGUUAUUCCAGCCCCAAAGCACCCAAGAUGGGAAGAGGCAGAGCCCCAGCAGGGCCAGGCAGGGAGCCCCAGCCCCUCUGACUUGGUGCAGCUUUCAGGGAAAGGUGGGGACUCCGGGAAUGGGGCUGCUGCUGUUGGAUCGGUGCUGGGAAAUCGUGGAAAACCGGAAUUCCUGCUCUGCCACAGGCUCGGGGCAGGGGUUAAUGGGGUUCUUUGCCCCAAAGAGUGCUGGAGCCCAUCAGAACGGACCCGUUUAACCGUGCAGGCAGAGCGGGAUCGGUCCCAGCUUUGCCCACAUUCCUGAGAUUUCUCCUUUCGCCUGAGUCACCGAGCAGGGAUCGGCUUCACAAUUGUUUUGUGUAACGUCACCACAGCGUCACCAGCAGAGACAUCAGAAAG
Long non-coding RNA from Passer montanus (Eurasian tree sparrow), 854 nucleotides. RefSeq lists it as uncharacterized. Lineage: Eukaryota; Metazoa; Chordata; Aves; Passeriformes; Passeridae. The record is from RefSeq and is a predicted model, not a curated record. The transcript is spliced from 3 exons.